AGUCUCUAUCUCUUCAGCGCGGUGUCAGCUUUCAAUGGGGCUUCUCAUUGCGAGAAUCGCGCGCUCACGAGGGGUUUGGCGGGCCGAAACCUUGCAGUCACGCGAGAAAACAGCCUACUCUCACGCGCGCUCUGUCUUUGUUCCAAGAUUGAUUGAACGACUCGUGUGUUUCUCUUCCUCCUGAAAAUUGCUAUGAAGCUAGAUAACAUGCUAAUGCUGUGUUCUGAACAUAGUUUUACAAGUUUAGUCGACAUAUAAUAUGUAAUUUCGACGUUUUGGUGCGCACCCACUUGACUUUUGGCUGCAUUUCAACUGAAAUGUGUCGUGUUUGAUCACCGAAAGACACAGACUUCCAGACUAAAGCUGUUUUUGGUUAAGCAAAGCUGCUAUGCCUACGGAACUAAAGAAUCCCAUGAUCCUUCCCAAAGACUCCUACAUCUCCAGACUGAUCUUACUCCACAUCCAUGGGCAGGUUGGCCACUCUGGGAGAGGUCACAUGCUUUCUAGACUUCACCAGCGAUAUUGGAUACCCUGUGCCAACUCCUUAGCAAGGAAGAUCCUUAAGAGCUGUGUCUUCUGCAGGCGGAUGCAAGCUAGAGCUGGAGAACAGAAGAUGGACGACCUUCCACAAGAUCGGGUGUCACCUGAUUUGCCGCCUUUCACCCAUGUGGGCAUAGAUUACUUCGGCCCCAUAGAGGUGAAGCGAGGCCGCGUUCAUGUGAAGCGGUAUGGUGUGAUCUUUACUUGCCUUGUGAGUCGAGCUGUCCAUCUAGAAGUUGCUAGUUAUCUGGAUACUGAUUCCUGCAUCAAUGCCCUGCGCAGGUUCAUCUGUCGAAGGGGCCCAGUAACAAGUAUCAGAACAGACAAUAACACCAACUUUGUUGGAACACACAGAGAGCUAGGAGAAGCUCUGAAAGAGCUGGAUCACAACAAGAUUCAAAAUGAAUUACUGAAGGAAGGAGUGACAUGGUCAUUCAACCCUCCCUCUGGAGCCCACCAUGGGGGGGUAUGGGAGAGGUUGAUCCGACUGGUGAAAAAUAUCCUCUAUUCAGUCCUUAAAGAGCAAGUACUGGAUGAUGAGGCUUUGCAGACAGCCUUGUGUGAAGUUGAGGCGAUUAUGAACGACAGACCAAUCACUCCUGUAACAAAUGACCCUAAUGAUCUAGAACCCCUGACUCCGAACCUUCUGCUUCAUCUGAAAGCUAAGCCAGUCCUGCCACCAGGACUAUUCCAGAGAAGCGACCUAUACUCACGAAGGAGAUGGAAGCAAGUACAAUAUAUCACUGACCUCUUCUGGAAGAGAUGGAUCAGGGAGUAUCUUCCACUUAUGUAGGAGCGGAUCAAGUGGAACAAAACUAAGAGAAACUUCAGUCCUGGUGAACUCGUGGUCAUCAUCGAUGACACCGCCCCAAGGAACUCUUGGCUAAUGGGGCGUGUGGUGGAGGCUUUGCCAGGGGGCAAAGGUCUUGUCCGGAGCGUCAUGGUUAAGACUAAGACCAAUAUUUUACAGAGACCUAUCAAUAAACUCUGUCUGCUCCUUGAGGCGACGGAGUGAAACACACACACACACACACACACACACACACACACACACAGUGCUCCAUCUUAGAAUCACGUGCACCUCUGAUUCGUUGAUGUCGUACUCUUACAUUCUUUGAUGUCAUAGUCAUACAUUUUUGGAUGUCAAACUCUUGACAUUUUUGGAAGUUGAACACCUUUACACUUCAACUCAGACUGAGAUCUAUGGACUAUUUUCCUAUAUGGCACCUUGUAUAUUUGUAUAUAGCUAUGAACUGUAAUAGUGCUCUGGUAUAGAAUGUUUUGUGUAUUGGCUCUACGUUUGAAUAUUAAGUAAUUGUUGUGCAUUCAGUGCAGUCAACAAUUAGGGGCCGGUAUGUUAGAGCCGAUUUGGACAUACAGUGCCUUGCGAAAGUAUUCGGCCCCCUUGAAGUUUGCGACCUUUUGCCACAUUUC
Oncorhynchus tshawytscha (Chinook salmon) is the source of this 1974-nucleotide long non-coding RNA. Lineage: Eukaryota; Metazoa; Chordata; Actinopteri; Salmoniformes; Salmonidae. The record is from Ensembl.